GAGUAGGUCAAUCUAUAUAGAACUCAAUCUCUACUUCCUCUAUAGAUUCAAUUUUUUAUUUUAAUUUUGAUUCUGAUUUCGAUCACGAACUAAAUAUUUUAAAAAAUUUAUUUAUUUUAAUUUUAAUUUUAAAUUAUUUCGAUUUUUAUUUUUAUUUUGAGUAUGAUUAUAUACCAAACAUCUCUUUAAAUUAAUCACCGCAGCUUUUGUGGCAAUCCA
RNAcentral lists this long non-coding RNA (219 nucleotides) under Elaeis guineensis (African oil palm). RNAcentral describes it as "long non-coding RNA (EGUI_LNC011626)". The record is from RNAcentral. Lineage: Eukaryota; Viridiplantae; Streptophyta; Magnoliopsida; Arecales; Arecaceae.